Long non-coding RNA from Lactuca sativa (garden lettuce), 449 nucleotides. RefSeq lists it as uncharacterized. The record is from RefSeq and is a predicted model, not a curated record. Lineage: Eukaryota; Viridiplantae; Streptophyta; Magnoliopsida; Asterales; Asteraceae.
UUCGGGAGGCGCGUGUGUAUUAUGCUGGAUCAGGAUGUCAGCAAAAUACUAAAGGAGGAAAAUGCAAUCAAGGGUUGAUGUUUCUUCAACGAAGAAUUUAAGGUUUCAACGAAGAAUUUAAGAGUUCUUGGUUGUUGAUUUCAAAAGUGAUCGAUCAAGGGGUAAAAGACAAAGGUGAUCGAUCAAGGUCAAGGCAGAACUUCAGAGUUCAAAUUUCACACAAUUUAUGUGCGUUUCUUUUUGGAAGUUUUAUGAGAAAAUUUGCAAUUUCGAAUUUAGUUAGCAAGACAGUCCAAUUAUUUUCUAUUUUGGUUGAGUUGUCUUUCUUUGAGGUUUGUAAUUUGAUUUUGGGGGUCCCUCUACCAAUGACGUUUGUACUGAGGUGGAGUUCGAAACAUUGCACACAAGGUGUUCGAUAAAAAUCCUCAGUGAGAUUACAUUGUUCUUGA